RNAcentral lists this unclassified non-coding RNA (587 nucleotides) under Hevea brasiliensis (rubber tree). Lineage: Eukaryota; Viridiplantae; Streptophyta; Magnoliopsida; Malpighiales; Euphorbiaceae. The record is from RNAcentral.
GCUGUAUCACAAUUUGCUCAUCGCAACCGUAUUCAGUCAUUACUCAGAGGUAGGUUCUUGCGAAAUGGCAGAAUGAUUGAAGACAAGAGGCCUACAUCCAUAGCUGCAAGUGAAUUGGGCUUACUGAGGCAAAGACAUACAGUAUCUGGUUUGAGGGAAGGGUUUUUCUCCAGAUUGGACCAUUCUAUUUAUGGUCAAGUAAGCAGCAGCGCCUCUGAUACUUCAUCUAACACUGACAUCAAUGGUAAUGGAAGUGAACAAACCCAAGUAAAUAAUUCACAACAGGUUGUAGAUGGAUUUCAUGAACAAACAGAGUCAAAUAUUGAGGAAACUGACAACCACGGGUUAUCAGAUGGUAGAACUGAUAUAGGAAGUAACAUUGUUGAAGAUAGAAGUUCUCAGGAAUCUACUUCUGCUUCAGAAGUGGAGUCAGGAAAAGUUCCAGAGAAUGAGAUAAGAGACAGGCAACAAACCAUGAGUACUGAAUUUGUUGGAAGCAGAGAUGGUACUGGAGAAGAGGUGAAUGGAAACUGGAGAGAAGGUACCAAUGAAAAUGUAGCUGGAGAGCAAAUUCGUCUGCAGUCAAC